ACAAACGACUCUCGCAACGGAUAUCUCGGCUCACGCAUCGAUGAAGAACGUAGCAAAAUGCGAUACUUGGUGUGAAUUGCAGAAUCCCGUGAACCAUCGAGUUUUUGAACGCAAGUUGCGCCCGAAGCCAUUCGGCCGAGGGCACGUCUGCCUGGGCGUCACG
This 163-nucleotide ribosomal RNA is filed under the name Pluchea carolinensis. Its description in RNAcentral is "5.8S ribosomal RNA". It matches the Rfam family "5.8S ribosomal RNA". Rfam says of the family: 5.8S ribosomal RNA (5.8S rRNA) is a component of the large subunit of the eukaryotic ribosome. It is transcribed by RNA polymerase I as part of the 45S precursor that also contains 18S and 28S rRNA. Functionally, it is thought that 5.8S rRNA may be involved in ribosome translocation. The record is from RNAcentral. Lineage: Eukaryota; Viridiplantae; Streptophyta; Magnoliopsida; Asterales; Asteraceae.